Molecule: long non-coding RNA, 2037 nt
Filed under: Homo sapiens (human)
Lineage: Eukaryota; Metazoa; Chordata; Mammalia; Primates; Hominidae
Description: HSALNT0316079
Source: RNAcentral
GUGGGUAGCCCUUUUCAACCAUGCCUAAGUUGUGAAGUGAAAGCUUAAGGCUUCGCGCCGCAACUCACUGCCCGAUAACUUCUGAAGUGAAAGCAGAACACAAAACCCUUCGAAUUUUCUUGAGCAACUUUUUCAACUAUUUUAAUUGCCAAGCAAGACAUACGAUGCCGUCUUAAAAUAUUCCCGCACGCACAGUCCACUCAGCAUCCAGAAACUGAGCCUCGUUUCCGAUCUGAUGAUACUUGUCAUUCAACUGGUGGGAGACCCAUUUAUUUUGUCCCCAGGGUCUCUAAGGAUGCCGCUGCCGCUUUCUGAUAGCUAGAUCUCAACUCUUACAAACUUUUACUGAGCCUCAGAUUCCCGCUUGCACUACUCCAGCUGUUGCUGCCGCAGCUGCCUUUCCCAGACAGAAGCGCUGCGUUGCAAUUCUUCAGUUACAAUCUGGGUAAUAAAGGAAAUCAUAUUAAAACUACAGAUUUUUGUAUUUUAAAGCGCGAUUUCCUUCCCCCGAGUAGCGCGUGGCGGAGAUGGUUGGUGACCCCUGCGGUGCAAUCAUCCAACGAAAACUUCACUGCUCUGCACCAGUUUUUCUUUUUCUGGGUUUAGAAGGGGAGUUGUGACUACAAUACUUUAAAAAACAAAACUACCUUUAUUGUGGCAAGAGAAAACAUUACAAUGGAAACAAAUUACAUAUAAAUAGUUGUUUUCUCGGUAGCUUGUUGUUCUUUUUGUCUUUUGUAAAUUUCUUUGGUGGUCUUAAGUCCUGAUUUGGCCUUGACUACAGUACAGGAGCCCAUGGACCUAGACCAGAGACCACGGACCCUGAAAAUACCCACUGAAUCUACACCGAGAUUGAAUGCACAACACAGUUUGCAACUUAAAAGAAAACCAAAAGCCAAACCGACUCUGGCAGCGCGGGGAGACUUCCCAGCCGUUUUCUUGGGCAGCUAGGACAGCACCUGGGCCGUGCCAGAAAUGCCAGUUGCUAUGGUCCUGAUGGAUGGAAAGGAAGUGCAGGUUGGGUCUGCGCAGCAUGUCUAAAGCCUGAAAUACCGAAGCCACCCUUACCUUACUUCCCCAAAGUGACAACGCGCGGGAAUUCAGUCACAGCAGAGAACGAGUUGCAUCCAGUAACUCCCUUAGCUACCGGCCCCCCAGAAGUCUCGUAAAGUCUCAAAAGGCGAUGCGAUUAGCAAGACCGCGGCAAGGGGGGCACUUGUUACUCCUACACUUGCUCUCUGUUUAAAAAAAGGCUCUGAAGUAGGAAAGGUAGAUGCCGACCCUUUCUCCCGUCCUUAAACUACUCACCUUGUCAGCCCAGUAACUGAGAUAAACACAACAAAACAACCCCCCCACAACAACAAACACAACACCCAGAUUCAGGCAUUUACUCUCUGUAUGCCCACCUACUUGGGUUUUCCUUCAUCCUUAAGAAACUCAGAUGAAAACAGAGCUUUGUUUUAAAAAAUACUUUUAUUUGUUUAUUUCAGAUUGCUUCUGAGGAGGAAAAUCCUUCUCCCAACGGAGGCCGAGGCCCCUUCUAGGAAGGCGGUUUAUUUGCUAUUACUUGACCAUUACCCGGGCUUAGGGCUUCUUUAUUGCAUUUGGCACUUGGAGCACAGUCUUCUUGCAGUAUUUUGAUGUGUUUUGCAAAAAAAAAAAAAAAAAAAAAAAAAAAAAAAAAUCUGUGUUUAGGGGAAGGUUAAUUACGCUUUUCAUUCUUCCCUCAUCUCCAGCACUGUGGAAGGGAACGGUUCAUUAGCUGUAGAGGCAGAAAGGCUAAAAAGCAAGGCUUCUUUUUUUAUUUGUAGGGACUGCAGAGUUGCAGGUCUUGGCUAUAGAGUGCAUGUGAGUGUGUGUGUGAAUGUGAGUGAGUGUGACUUUUGCCGGCUAGCCCAGCUCCCAGGCUUUCUGAGCCAAGGCCUCCCCUGGGCCCUGGGGCCGGCUUCCUGCAGGGACAGACAUUCAACAUGUAGGACUAGAAAUUAACAUGUCAUUCCACGAAUUUUGGUUUCUUUCUUUCUUUCUCUUUCUUUU